ACUGGGACCAGACUUUCAGGUUCCACAUGAGUGGAUGAAGAGGGAACCUCGUGCAAAUCGAGGACGGGCCCGCCGCUGUAACCGGGGACGGGCGCUGCAGAUAGGCCACUGCUGCCACGGCAUCGGGAAGGCGCGGCGUCACGAAAGAUCCGGAAGUCAGAAGACCUGCCUGAAAGAAGGUUCGACA
RNAcentral lists this non-coding RNA (187 nucleotides) under Desulfofustis glycolicus. Lineage: Bacteria; Pseudomonadati; Thermodesulfobacteriota; Desulfobulbia; Desulfobulbales; Desulfocapsaceae. RNAcentral also lists the same sequence under 1 other name. The record is from RNAcentral.